GAGAAAGUCAUAGUGGCUAUGGCAUUGGCUUGAAACCAAUUUCAGGGGGUUCGAAUCCUUCCUUUCUUA
Molecule: transfer RNA, 69 nt
Filed under: Myotis pilosus (Rickett's big-footed Myotis)
Lineage: Eukaryota; Metazoa; Chordata; Mammalia; Chiroptera; Vespertilionidae
Description: Myotis ricketti (Rickett's big-footed Myotis) tRNA-Ser
Rfam family: tRNA
About the family: Transfer RNA (tRNA) molecules are approximately 80 nucleotides in length. Their secondary structure includes four short double-helical elements and three loops (D, anti-codon, and T loops). Further hydrogen bonds mediate the characteristic L-shaped molecular structure. tRNAs have two regions of fundamental functional importance: the anti-codon, which is responsible for specific mRNA codon recognition, and the 3' end, to which the tRNAs corresponding amino acid is attached (by aminoacyl-tRNA synthetases). tRNAs cope with the degeneracy of the genetic code in two manners: having more than one tRNA (with a specific anti-codon) for a particular amino acid; and 'wobble' base-pairing, i.e. permitting non-standard base-pairing at the 3rd anti-codon position.
Source: RNAcentral